Molecule: ribosomal RNA, 426 nt
Filed under: uncultured bacterium
Lineage: Bacteria
Description: bacterial SSU rRNA
Rfam family: Bacterial small subunit ribosomal RNA
Source: RNAcentral
UGGGGAAUUGUUCGCAAUGGGCGCAAGCCUGACGACGCAACGCCGCGUGGAGGAUGAAGACCUUCGGGUCGUAAACUCCUUUCGAUCGAGACGAAUGGGUUCCGGGCUAACAUCCCGGGCUAUUGACGGUACCGAGAGAAGAAGCCCCGGCUAACUCCGGGCCAGCAGCCGCGGUAAUACGGGGGGGGCAAGCGUUGUUCGGAAUUACUGGGCGUAAAGGGCUCGUAGGUGGCCAACUAAGUCAUACGUGAAAUCCCUCAGCUUAACUGGGGAACUGCGUCUGAUACUGGAUGGCUUGAGUUUGGGAGAGGGAUGCGGAAUUCCAGGUGUAGCGGUGAAAUGCGUAGAUAUCUGGAGGAACACCGGUGGCGAAGGCGGCAUCCUGGACCAAUACUGACACUGAGGAGCGAAAGCCAGGGGAGCAAA